RNAcentral lists this ribosomal RNA (433 nucleotides) under uncultured bacterium. RNAcentral's name for it is "partial 16S ribosomal RNA". It matches the Rfam family "Bacterial small subunit ribosomal RNA", at positions 29 to 507 of the family's 1533-position model. The record is from RNAcentral.
AACGAACGCUGGCGGCAGGCUUAACACAUGCAAGUCGAACGCACCUUUCGGGGUGAGUGGCAGACGGGUGAGUAACGCGUGGGAAUCUACCCUUCUCUACGGGAUAGCUCCGGGAAACUGGAAUUAAUACCGUAUCCGUCCUGAUGGAGAAAGAUUUAUCGGGGAAGAAUGAGCCCGAGUUGGAUUAGCUAGUUGGUGGGGUAAAGGCCUACUAAGGCGACGAUCCAUAGCUGGUCUAAGAGAAUGGUCAGCCACAUUGAGACUAAGACACGGCCCGAACUCCUACGGGAGGCAGGAGAGGGGGAUAUAGCAACAUCGGCGGAAUCAUGAACGAGCCAGGCCGGGAGAGUGAUGAAGGCCCGAGAGUUGUAAAGCGCUUUCAGUGGUGACGAUAAUGACGGUACCCACAGAAGAAGCCCCGGCUAACUUCGUG